CUUGGUCAUUUAGAGGAAGUAAAAGUCGUAACAAGGUCUCCGUAGGUGAACCUGCGGAGGGAUCAUUACAAGAACGCCCGGGCUUCGGCCUGGUUAUUCAUAACCCUUUGUUGUCCGACUCUGUUGCCUCCGGGGCGACCCUGCCUUCGGGCGGGGGCUCCGGGUGGACACUUCAAACUCUUGCGUAACUUUGCAGUCUGAGUAAACUUAAUUAAUAAAUUAAAACUUUUAACAACGGAUCUCUUGGUUCUGGCAUCGAUGAAGAACGCAGCGAAAUGCGAUAAGUAAUGUGAAUUGCAGAAUUCAGUGAAUCAUCGAAUCUUUGAACGCACAUUGCGCCCCCUGGUAUUCCGGGGGGCAUGCCUGUUCGAGCGUCAUUUCACCACUCAAGCCUCGCUUGGUAUUGGGCAACGCGGUCCGCCGCGUGCCUCAAAUCGACCGGCUGGGUCUUCUGUCCCCUAAGCGUUGUGGAAACUAUUCGCUAAAGGGUGUUCGGGAGGCUACGCCGUAAAACAACCCAAUUUCUAGGGUUGACCUCGGAUCAGGUAGGGAUACCCGCUGAACUUAAGCAUAUCAAUAAGCGGAGGAAAAGAAACCAACAGGGAUUGCUCUAGUAACGGCGAGUGAAGCAGCAAUAGCUCAAAUUUGAAAUCUGGCGUCUUCGACGUCCGAGUUGUAAUUUGUAGAGGAUGCUUCUGAGUAACCACCGACCUAAGUUCCUUGGAACAGGACGUCAUAGAGGGUGAGAAUCCCGUAUGCGGUCGGAAAGGUGCUCUAUACGUAGCUCCUUCGACGAGUCGAGUUGUUUGGGAAU
Molecule: small RNA, 814 nt
Filed under: uncultured Davidiella
Lineage: Eukaryota; Fungi; Ascomycota; Dothideomycetes; Cladosporiales; Cladosporiaceae
Description: eukaryotic LSU rRNA
Rfam family: Eukaryotic large subunit ribosomal RNA (bases 532-814)
Source: RNAcentral